CUACGGGUUGCACCAGUGGGGAAUAUUGCACAAUGGGCGCAAGCCUGAUGCAGCAACGCCGCGUGAGGGAUGAAGGCCUUCGGGUUGUAAACCUCUUUUAGCAGGGAAGAAGCGAAAGUGACGGUACCUGCAGAAAAAGCACCGGCUAACUACGUGCCAGCAGCCGCGGUAAUACGUAGGGUGCAAGCGUUGUCCGGAAUUAUUGGGCGUAAAGAGCUCGUAGGCGGUUUGUCACGUCUGCUGUGAAAAUCCAAGGCUCAACCUUGGACUUGCAGUGGGUACGGGCAGGCUAGAGUGCGGUAGGGGAGAUGGGAAUUCCUGGUUUAGCGGUGGAAUGCGCAGAUAUCAGGAGGAACACCAAUGGCGAAGGCACAUCUCUGGGCCGUAACUGACGCUGAGGAGCGAAAGCGUGGGGAGCGAACAGGAUUAGAUACCCGUGUAGUC
Molecule: ribosomal RNA, 444 nt
Filed under: uncultured bacterium
Lineage: Bacteria
Description: partial 16S ribosomal RNA
Rfam family: Bacterial small subunit ribosomal RNA
Source: RNAcentral